RNAcentral lists this ribosomal RNA (406 nucleotides) under uncultured bacterium. RNAcentral describes it as "partial 16S ribosomal RNA". It matches the Rfam family "Bacterial small subunit ribosomal RNA", at positions 30 to 526 of the family's 1533-position model. The record is from RNAcentral.
AUUGAACGCUGGCGGCAGGCCUAACACAUGCAAGUCGAACGUUUCGCGUACUUUUGAGUAAUUUCUUGGAAACUUCCUGUUGGCGGGGGAUAACUACUGGACACUGUAGCUCAUCCCUCAUUCCAUCCGAUGUUCCCAGAUGGGAUUAGCUAGUAGGUGGGGUAAAGGCUCACCUAGGCGACGAUCCCUAGCUGGUCUGCGAGGAGGACCAGCCACACUGGAACUGAGACACGGUCCAGACUCCUACGGGAGGCAGCAGUGGGGAAUAUUGCAAAAUGGGCGCAAGCCUGAUGCAGCCAUGCCGCGUGUAUGAAGAAGGCCUUCGGGUUGUAAAGUACUUUCAGCGGGGAGGCGGAAACAGAAGAAGAAGCAAAGGCUAACUCCGUGCCAGCAGCCGCGGUAAUAG